This is a non-coding RNA of Arachis ipaensis, 3166 nucleotides long. NCBI's taxonomy places the organism in Eukaryota, Viridiplantae, Streptophyta, Magnoliopsida, Fabales, Fabaceae. The record is from RefSeq and is a predicted model, not a curated record.
UUGAAUGACAGUGGUGAGAUCAAGAUUGAUAAGCUGGUGACAAUUGCAUUCUCUAUUGGAAAAUAUGUUGAUGAGGCACUGCGUGAUGUGGUGCCAAUGCAAGCUUAUCAUUUAUUAUUGGAAAAACCUUGGCAGUUUGACCGUCGAGCAUUCCAUGAUGGUUACACGAAUAAGUUCUCAUUUGAUUUUAAUGGUCGUAAGAUCACUCUUGCUCCAUUAUCACCUAAGGAGGUUUACCUUGACUAGUUAAAGCUUCAACAGGAUACCAAGGAGAAAAUGGGAUGUGAGGCCAAAGAAAAAUCUGAGAAAAAAGAGGCUAUGAGAGAAAAAAUAUAGAAAAAGAACCAAAGGUGAGUGAAAAGAAAGAAAAGAGUACAUGUCAUGAGAAUAGUGCAAAUACAGAGAAAAAUGAGAGAGUUGAGAGAAAAUUGUGUUUAUUUACAAAAGAGAGAGAUUUAAAGAGUGUUUUAAUAGGCAAGAGAGCUGUGAUUAUGGCUCGGUUUAGGAAUACUUUGUUAUCUAACACUGAACUUAAUCCAAAUUUGCCAAAUAAUUUUGUCUCUUUGUUGCAGAAAUUUGUGAAUGUCUUUCCUACUGACAUGCCCAGUGGUUUACCUCCGUUACGAGGGAUUGAACACCAAAUUGAUUUUAUUCUAGUGCUAGCAUUUUGAAUAGACUAGCCUAUAGGAGUAACCCUGAGGAGACAAAAGAACUUCAAAGGCAAGAAGAGGACUCACUAGCCAAAGGUCACAUUAGAGAGAGCAUGAAUCCAUGUGUUGUACCAGUUUUGUUGGUUCCAAAGAAGGAUGGUACUUGGCGGAUGUAUAUGAAUUGUCGUGCAGUAAAUAAGAUUACGGUAAAGUAUUGUUAUCCUAUUCUAGGUUAGAUGACAUGCUUGAUGAAUUACAUGGUGCAUGCAUAUUCACUAAAAUUGAUUUGAAAAGUGGGUAUCAUCAAAUUAGAAUGAAAUCCAGAGAUGAAUGAAAGACUACAUUAAAACCAAACAUAGGUUAUAUGAGUGGUUAGUAAUGCUUUUUGGGUUAACUAAUGCAACUAGUACUUUUAUGCGUCUAAUAAAUGAUGUUUUGGGAGAAUUUUUGGGUAAAUUUGUUGUUUAUUUUGAGGAUAUUCUCAUUUAUAGCACUUGUUUAGAAGACCACUUAUCACAUGUUUUAGCUGUUUUAGAAAUGUUUCAAAAAGAAAAAUUAUAUGCCAAUCUUAAAAAAUGCACAUUUUUAUUGAUAGAGUUGUAUUUCUUGGUUUUAUUGUGAGUGUGAGUGGAAUUGAGGUUGAUAAGGAAAAGGUGAAGGGUAUUCAUAAACGGCCAACACCCAAGAAUACUUCUGAGGUAAGAAGUUUUCAUGGUUUAGCUGGGUUUUACAAGAGAUUUGUGAAAAAAUUUUCUACCAUUGCUACGCCUCUCGCAGAGGUUAUAAAAAAAGAUGUUGGAUUUAAAUGGAAAAGGAACAAAAAAUUAUAUUUCAUACCCUAAAAUAUUGUUUGUGUUCUGCUCCUAUUCUUAUUUUACCUAACUUUGAUAAAACCUUUGAGAUCGAAUGUGAUACUUCUAGGAUUGGUAUAUGUGCUAUUUUAAUGCAAAAAAAGUGUACUAUUGACUUCUUUAGUGAAAAGUUGAAUUCAGCUCAGUGCAAAUAUUCAACGUAAGACAGAAUUAUAUGCCUUGGUUUGAGCUUUGGAGGUUUGGCAAUACUACCUCUUACCUAAGGAGUUUGUGAUUCACACGGAUCAUGAAUCUUUGAAGCACCUAAAGGGACAAGGCAAGUUUGAUAAAAGACAUGCUAAAUGGGUGGAAUUCAUUGAGACAUUUCUAUAUGUGAUUGCCUUUAAACAAACUAAAGAGAAUGUAGUUGCUGAUGCUUUAUCUAGGAGGUAUGCUUUGAUUACUACACUUACUUGUAAGUUGUUAGGAUUUGAGUUUUUAAAGGAGUUAUAUGCCACUGAUUCUGACUUUUCUGUUAUUUAUGCCUUUUGUGAACAUGGUGUAUUUAACAAAUUUUAUAGACAUGAAGGUUUUCUGUUUCGUGGUAAUAGAAUUUGUGUGCUUGCUUGUUCUAUUAGGGACUUAAUUAUUCGGAAAUCACAUAAUGGGGGUAUAAUGGAUCAUUUUGGUAUGCAUAAGACACUGGAUGUGUUAUCUGAACAUUUUUACUGGCUACACAUGCUUAGGGAUGUUAAAAAAUUUUUUGCUAAGUGUAUUGCAUGUAAACAGACUAAAGCUAAAUUUUUACUACAUGGUUUGUAUACUCUGUUACCUGUUCCUGUGCAUCCAUAGGUUAAUAUUUCUCUGGAUUUUAUUCUUGGUUUGUCUCGAACUAAGAAAGGUAGAGUUAGCAUUUUUAUUGUGGUAGACAGGUUUAUUAAAAUGGCUCAUUUUAUUGCAUGCCAUAAAACUGAUGAUGCAACAAACAUUGUUGAUCUUUCUUUAGAGAGGUUGUGCACUUGUAUGGUGUUCUCCAAGCUAUUGUUUCUGAUCGUGACGUAAAAUUUUUGAGUCAUUUUUGAAAAAUGUUAUAAGUUAAAUUGGACACAAAAUUAUUAUACUCUACUACUUGUCAUCCUUAGACUGAUGGUCAAACUGAAGUAGUAAAUAGAAUAUUAGGGACCUUAUUACGUGCUGUUGUUGGUAAGAAUCUAAAAAUUUGGGAAGAUUGUUUAUCUUUUAUUGAAUUUUCUUAUAAUAUAACAAUUCAUUCUUCUACAGCUUUUUUCCUUUUGAACUUGUUUGUGGUUUUAACUCUUUAACUAUUUUAGACUUAUUACCUUUGCUUUUGCAUGAUCUUGUUAGCUUGGGUACAGAAGGUAAAGUUGAAAAGGUUAAAGCAAUGUACUUGAAAGCACGUGAGUUGAUUUAAAAGAAAAACAAGUUGACAGCUCAAAGGGUGAAUAAAGGUCGAAGACAACUUGUCUUUGAACUUGGUGACUGGGUAUGGGUUUGAGAAAGGAGAGGUUUCCUAUUCAAAAAAAAUUCAGGUUAGACCCUAGGGAUUCGAGAACGAAUCUUUUUCAAGAGGGAAGGAAUGAUAUGAGCUCUGUGGGAUAAAUUGAGAACUGUCAUAUGCUAAUUAGUCUCAUUACAAGAGCAACAACUAAGAGAAAAAAAGAAGAUUUUGCAAACACGGCUAAAUCAUUUGUUCAAGAGAUGCAU